UCUUUGCAUCCUUGAUUCUGCCCAUGUCUGGAUCCAGAGGCUGCCAGGUGCUCGGGCGCUCAUGCGGCUGACCCAGAGGCUAUUGGGAGGCCAGUGAGGACAGAUUCAGGAAGAGCAUCUCAUUCUGAUCACUUCAGAUAGGGUCUGGCACCCAGUCAGAGUCUAAUAAAUGCUGAUGUAUCCAAUUGAAGCCUGGGCACUGCCCCAGUUUUAGUUGUGGGGAAGAUGGCUGCUUGCCCGUGGCCAGCCUGGGCCGUCCACAGCCCUGGGGAGGCCACGUCUGUGCAGGGAGCUUUUGUCUGAGGGUGGUGACAGCUGUUUUCUGCCUCAGGAGAAACUGAAGCCAAAAUGCUUGGAGGAACUCCCUGAAAAGCUAAAGCUCUACUCAGAGUUUCUGGGGAAGCAGCCAUGGUUUGCAGGAGACAAGAUCACCUUUGUGGAUUUCCUUGCCUACGAUGUCCUUGACAUGAAGCGUAUAUUUGAGCCCAAGUGCUUGGAUGCCUUCCUAAACUUGAAGGACUUCAUCUCCCGCUUUGAGGGUUUGAAGAAGAUCUCUGCCUACAUGAAGUCCAGCCAAUUCUUCCGAGGUCUUUUGUUUGGAAAGUCAGCUACAUGGAACAGCAAAUAGGGCCCCGUGAUGCCAGAAGAUGGGAGGGAGGAGCCAACCUUGCUGCCUGCGACCCUGGAGGACAGCCUGACUCCCUGGACCUGCCUUCUUCCUUUUUCCUUCUUUCUACUCUCUUCUCUUCCCCAAGGCCUCAUUGGCUUCCUUUCUUCUAACAUCAUCCCUCCCUGCAUCGAGGCUCUUUAAAGCUUCAGCUCCCCACUGUCCU
This 833-nucleotide small RNA is filed under the name Pan troglodytes (chimpanzee). RNAcentral's name for it is "processed transcript". The record is from RNAcentral. Lineage: Eukaryota; Metazoa; Chordata; Mammalia; Primates; Hominidae.